Molecule: ribosomal RNA, 382 nt
Filed under: Clostridioides difficile
Lineage: Bacteria; Bacillati; Bacillota; Clostridia; Peptostreptococcales; Peptostreptococcaceae
Description: bacterial SSU rRNA
Rfam family: Bacterial small subunit ribosomal RNA
Source: RNAcentral
AAGUCGAUGACGGUGGGGAUGACGUCAAAUCAUCAUGCCCCUUAUGCUUAGGGCUACACACGUGCUACAAUGGGUAGUACAGAGGGUUGCCAAGCCGUAAGGUGGAGCUAAUCCCUUAAAGCUACUCUCAGUUCGGAUUGUAGGCUGAAACUCGCCUACAUGAAGCUGGAGUUACUAGUAAUCGCAGAUCAGAAUGCUGCGGUGAAUGCGUUCCCGGGUCUUGUACACACCGCCCGUCACACCACGGGAGUUGGAGACGCCCGAAGCCGAUUAUCUAACCUGUUGGAAGAAGUCGUCGAAGGUGGAAUCAAUAACUGGGGUGAAGUCGUAACAAGGUAGCCGUAUCGGAAGGUGCGGCUGGAUCACCUCCUUUCUAAGGAGA